GGGGGCGUAAAGGUUUCGACGGGGAUCUUGAGGGCGAAUAAGCGAGUAGAGGACGCGCCAUUCUCUUAAAACGGUGCAAAAUUAAAUUUUAAACGACAAUAAUAGUUUAGAAUUGGCUGCUGCCUAAUAGCAGCCCGUCCUGCCGAUGAGUACUGCGGCAUCGGUUUGGGCGUCGCUUAGCAGUGAACGUUCGUUGGCGACUCCGGUGACCGACGGAUGAAUUACCGGAUACCAAGGUUCGGAGCGUGCUUGUCCGCGCCGGCUGAGGGAAUGUAAAGGAUAUGCUACACUCGUAGAAAGUUUGCAGGAUGGGUUUUCGGACACGAGUUCGAUUCUCGUCGCCUCCACCA
RNAcentral lists this transfer-messenger RNA (350 nucleotides) under Oscillospiraceae. Its description in RNAcentral is "Faeciplasma sp900553675 Standard tmRNA". It matches the Rfam family "transfer-messenger RNA". From Rfam's summary of the family: Bacterial tmRNA, also known as 10Sa RNA or SsrA, is named for its dual tRNA and mRNA-like properties. The record is from RNAcentral. RNAcentral also lists the same sequence under 2 other names. Lineage: Bacteria; Bacillati; Bacillota; Clostridia; Eubacteriales.